UUGCCAGUCAGUCUCCUGGCUGGAGUCCAGCUCUAAGCUGGUUCCAGGCUCUAGCCAGGACCUGACUACAAC
Molecule: non-coding RNA, 72 nt
Organism: Mus musculus (house mouse)
Lineage: Eukaryota; Metazoa; Chordata; Mammalia; Rodentia; Muridae
Source: Rfam